CUUAAUACAUUGCAAGUCGAACGAACUCUGGUAUUGAUUGGUGCUUGCAUCAUGAUUUACAUUUGAGUGAGUGGCGAACUGGUGAGUAACACGUGGGAAACCUGCCCAGAAGCGGGGGAUAACACCUGGAAACAGAUGCUAAUACCGCAUAACAACUUGGACCGCAUGGUCCGAGCUUGAAAGAUGGCUUCGGCUAUCACUUUUGGAUGGUCCCGCGGCGUAUUAGCUAGAUGGUGGGGUAACGGCUCACCAUGGCAAUGAUACGUAGCCGACCUGAGAGGGUAAUCGGCCACAUUGGGACUGAGACACGGCCCAAACUCCUACGGGAGGCAGCAGUAGGGAAUCUUCCACAAUGGACGAAAGUCUGAUGGAGCAACGCCGCGUGAGUGAAGAAGGGUUUCGGCUCGUAAAACUCUGUUGUUAAAGAAGAACAUAUCUGAGAGUAACUGUUCAGGUAUUGACGGUAUUUAACCAGAAAGCCACGGCUAACUACGUGCCAGCAGCCGCGGUAAUACGUAGGUGGCAAGCGUUGUCCGGAUUUAUUGGGCGUAAAGCGAGCGCAGGCGGUUUUUUAAGUCUGAUGUGAAAGCCUUCGGCUCAACCGAAGAAGUGCAUCGGAAACUGGGAAACUUGAGUGCAGAAGAGGACAGUGGAACUCCAUGUGUAGCGGUGAAAUGCGUAGAUAUAUGGAAGAACACCAGUGGCGAAGGCGGCUGUCUGGUCUGUAACUGACGCUGAGGCUCGAAAGUAUGGGUAGCAAACAGGAUUAGAUACCCUGGUAGUCCAUACCGUAAACGAUGAAUGCUAAGUGUUGGAGGGUUUCCGCCCUUCAGUGCUGCAGCUAACGCAUUAAGCAUUCCGCCUGGGGAGUACGGCCGCAAGGCUGAAACUCAAAGGAAUUGACGGGGGCCCGCACAAGCGGUGGAGCAUGUGGUUUAAUUCGAAGCUACGCGAAGAACCUUACCAGGUCUUGACAUACUAUGCAAAUCUAAGAGAUUAGACGUUCCCUUCGGGGACAUGGAUACAGGUGGUGCAUGGUUGUCGUCAGCUCGUGUCGUGAGAUGUUGGGUUAAGUCCCGCAACGAGCGCAACCCUUAUUAUCAGUUGCCAGCAUUAAGUUGGGCACUCUGGUGAGACUGCCGGUGACAAACCGGAGGAAGGUGGGGAUGACGUCAAAUCAUCAUGCCCCUUAUGACCUGGGCUACACACGUGCUACAAUGGAUGGUACAACGAGUUGCGAACUCGCGAGAGUAAGCUAAUCUCUUAAAGCCAUUCUCAGUUCGGAUUGUAGGCUGCAACUCGCCUACAUGAAGUCGGAAUCGCUAGUAAUCGCGGAUCAGCAUGCCGCGGUGAAUACGUUCCCGGGCCUUGUACACACCGCCCGUCACACCAUGAGAGUUUGUAACACCCAAAGUCGGUGGGGUAAACCUUUUUAGGAAACCCCAACCCCCCCAAA
This 1456-nucleotide ribosomal RNA is filed under the name Lactiplantibacillus plantarum. RNAcentral describes it as "bacterial SSU rRNA". It matches the Rfam family "Bacterial small subunit ribosomal RNA". The record is from RNAcentral. Lineage: Bacteria; Bacillati; Bacillota; Bacilli; Lactobacillales; Lactobacillaceae.